RNAcentral lists this long non-coding RNA (1592 nucleotides) under Scleropages formosus (Asian bonytongue). Its description in RNAcentral is "lncRNA (ENSSFOG00015033229.1)". The record is from RNAcentral. Lineage: Eukaryota; Metazoa; Chordata; Actinopteri; Osteoglossiformes; Osteoglossidae.
CGCAAUAAGUCAGAGCACUAUUUCACAGAUUACUAUUUUCAGAUCCCAAAAUAGUAACGAAUGGCGUGGAUGUAUAAGACAAGUUUUUCCAUUAUGCACAAUAUUUAAUAUCAUUAGAACUAGUGACCACUUAAGUAGGCAGGUGUGUUUUAAACGGCUUGGAAGAUCAAAAAUGGCCACAUGGCAACAUUUGUACGGCUGUUGGUCAAACAAGUCGAAAAAUGAACCCGAUUAAUACAAAAUGUGUGUACGGUGGAAGUGCAGAACACAAGUGAGGGGAGAGGCGCCGAGUGUGAACGACACGCCUCCUGUGACCAGGACAAGGCGGGGGGUAUAAAGGCAGGCUGGAGACACACGGUCCGCUUCACGGAGAGACAGCAGUGAGACAGAAGAAGCCACAGUGAACCCAGUGAGAUGGCAAAGACACAGAGGUGAAACCAGUGAGACAACAGAGAGACAACAGGGACACCAGUGAGACAGAAGAGAGACAACAGGGACACCAGUGAGACAGGAGAGAGACAGCAGAGAGACAACAGGGACACCAGUGAGACAGGAGAGAGACAGCAGUGAGACAACAGGGACAACAGUGAGACAGGAGAGAGACAGCAGAGAGACAACAGGGACACCAGUGAGACAGGAGAGAGAGAGCAGUGAGACAACAGGGACACCAGUGAGACGGCGGUGAGACAGCCAAGAGACACACCACUGCGAUGACUGCAUUCCUGCUGCUCCUCUCGGUGGCGCUCUCCUUCUCAGAGGCAGAGGAACACACCGUUAACGAACUUUUCUCUCUAAUCGGGAGCCCUUCGCAGAGAGUAAACGCAGGGGGCGCCAGUGAGUUGACAGAAGUAGCCCAUAAUAACCAGAGCAGGACUGGGGUGAAGGACCCUUCCGCGCCAGUCAACGAGUUGCUGGAGCAGAGCAUCAAAAGCGGAGACUCGAAGUACGGCCUUCAGGCCCUGCCUGCCGGGGUGUGGCCCAAGCACAGCGACCUGGCGCCUCCGCCCCGGCUGGGCCAUCACAACAAGAGCAAAAAGGCAGCCAAGAGCGAGCGGCUGCCCGUCGAGCACAACAGCGAGAAGAACCGGGGAGAGGGGCGCACUCAAGCCCCGGAGCCGCUCCCCAAAAUGCCGCCGGUCAGCGCCAGCAAUCGCACGCACAGGUUCCCCUCAGACCCGCUUCCCAACAGCCCCGCCGUCGACCCGGAUACCCCCUUUAACUCCCGACCUCGGAGUGCUCCGCAGCCCACGCCCCCUCGCAGGGACGCCCCGAACCGGAGGAUGGACCCUGAGGAGAACCGCCCGGGAAAGUCUAGCCUGUACCAGUCGGGCGCAAGGAACAGCAGCAGGCCAUCGGUGCUGUUCAACCGCAGGUCUUCCAGUCUCCUCUACCACUUCGAUGUCCUCAAGAAAGGUAGUAGAGAAGCUCCCCCGUCACGCGCUCCGUGGCUCGUUACAUGGGGGACGGUUCGCGGCGAGGCUCUGAGUGCGGGUGUGGGCUGCAGCGGCCCAGCUACUCAAAUUAUAGCUCAAGCCGUAAUUUACGGCAUAGCUGCGGUUCCAAGAAUGGACCCGUUGUCCAAAUGUUCAUAA